GGCAGAGGUUCAAAAAACUCUGAGAAGGUUGGGCACCUCCUGAAGACCUCUCGUCCUGGCCAAGGCUACAUCCAAAAUAAUGCAGGUACUAAACCAUGUGAAUAAUAAAAUGCUCAUGCACUUGAAAACGAGACUGUGGCCCUGUCUGAAUGAAAUCCCGCGAGGAGAGAAAGACAGAAAGAUGUCCUCCUGCAGUUCAGGGGCGAGCAGGCGAAAGAGUGCCAGCUGUGCGAGCUGCGUUCUCCUCCUGAAGCACACGUCUAAAUGGAGCUCACAUCAUCGAGCCCCCCGACAGCUCUCUCAUCGCACCGUGAUGCUCGCCUCCUGGAGGGCCUCGGAUUGAGACGGGUCCUCACGCCGUCUCUUUCAUCCUGAGAGAUUCAGGACCCACUGAUUGUCUCACUGACUCCUUCACUACCUAACUGCCAGAGAGAGAGAG
Long non-coding RNA from Ictalurus punctatus (channel catfish), 439 nucleotides. NCBI's taxonomy places the organism in Eukaryota, Metazoa, Chordata, Actinopteri, Siluriformes, Ictaluridae. The record is from Ensembl.